Long non-coding RNA from Vombatus ursinus (common wombat), 800 nucleotides. RefSeq lists it as uncharacterized. NCBI's taxonomy places the organism in Eukaryota, Metazoa, Chordata, Mammalia, Diprotodontia, Vombatidae. The transcript has 4 exons. The record is from RefSeq and is a predicted model, not a curated record.
GCUGUUGCCACUUACAAAUUCCAUAGCUGAUGUUGCAGGGGCAUGUGAUCCAGGCUGGUCUUGGUUGUAAUUCUAGCUCCUUUGCCUUCUGUAAUAUUAUAUUCCAAGGCUACCAUUUCUUUAAUCCUUUAAAGUAGUGACUCCUAAUCUUAUGUGAUCUUGAUUGUGUCACUAUGGUACACGAAUUGUUCUUUUCUGUUUGCUUACAGUGUUUUUCAUCUGUGACUUUUGGAUUUUGGCUACAAUAUUCCAAGGAGUUUUGAUUCUGGGGUCUCUUACAGAAGUCUGUUUGUGGAAAAUAACUAGAAGACAAGUGCCAGCAGAGGAAAGUUCACUCUCCAUCUUGGAGCCAUGGUGGUGGGCAGAUUCUAGGAGUGUGCCUGAUCUCUGGGUACCCAGAUCCCUGCUACUUCCUUCUGAGACUGAGGAGCUACUGCUGGACAGAAUGAAUAAGACUGGGGACAGCACACGUACAGAAAGUACACACAACCAGAGAAAAUUCAUGGAGGGCCCAUACACAAGGACUGAAGACAACUUUUACACUGGCUAAAAGACUUCAUGAAACACACGAGGCCUCUGUCUGUUUGUACUGUCUCCCCAGAAUUAAAGAAAUUAUCAACACAAGCAUGCCAGGAACAAUAAUAGCCAUCAUGACAACCCAAUCAACCUUGGUGAUAAAUAAACUCCCACAAUGCUCCUGUUAUUGUCACAAGAAAUGAACGGGUGCUUCUCAAAUGAAAAAUCAUGCUAAAUAAAAUAUAUUCCUCUCCAACACCACCAAUACCAAACACAUACAUACA